AGACAGGUGGUGCAUGGUUGUCGCAGCUCAUGUCGUGAGAUGUUCGGGUUAAGUCCCGCAACGAGCGCAACCCCUACGUUUAGUUGCUAACGCGUGAAGGCGAGCACUCUAGACGAACUGCCGUUGACAAAACGGAGGAAGUGGGAUGACGUCAAAUCAUCAUGCCCCUUAUGUUCUGGGCUACACACGUGCUACAAUGGCCGGUACAGACGGACGCAAAGCCGCGAGGUGGAGCAAAUCCUAAAAAGCCGGUCUCAGUUCGGAUUGCAGGCUGCAAUUCGCCUGCAUGAAGUCGGAAUCGCUAGUAAUCGCAGGUCAGCAUACUGCGGUGAAUACGUUCCCGGGCCUU
RNAcentral lists this ribosomal RNA (349 nucleotides) under uncultured Pelotomaculum sp. Its description in RNAcentral is "bacterial SSU rRNA". It matches the Rfam family "Bacterial small subunit ribosomal RNA", at positions 1032 to 1382 of the family's 1533-position model. Lineage: Bacteria; Bacillati; Bacillota; Clostridia; Eubacteriales; Desulfotomaculaceae. The record is from RNAcentral.